Molecule: ribosomal RNA, 253 nt
Filed under: uncultured bacterium
Lineage: Bacteria
Description: partial 16S ribosomal RNA
Rfam family: Bacterial small subunit ribosomal RNA
Source: RNAcentral
UACGGAGGGGGCUAGCGUUGUUCGGAAUCACUGGGCGUAAAGGGCGCGUAGGCGGCCUGGUAAGUAGGGGGUGAAAUCCUGCGGCUUAACCGCAGGGCUGCCUUCUAAACUGUCAGGCUCGAGCACGGUAGAGGCAGAUGGAAUUCCCGGUGUAGCGGUGGAAUGCGUAGAGAUCGGGAAGAACAUCAGUGGCGAAGGCGGUCUGCUGGGCCGUUGCUGACGCUGAGGCGCGACAGCGUGGGGAGCAAACAGG